RNAcentral lists this ribosomal RNA (505 nucleotides) under uncultured bacterium. RNAcentral describes it as "partial 16S ribosomal RNA". It matches the Rfam family "Bacterial small subunit ribosomal RNA", at positions 28 to 507 of the family's 1533-position model. The record is from RNAcentral.
GACGAACGCUGGCGGCGUGCCUAAUACAUGCAAGUAGAACGCACAGUUUAUACCGUAGCUUGCUACACCAUAGACUGUGAGUUGCGAACGGGUGAGUAACGCGUAGGUAACCUGCCUGGUAGCGGGGGAUAGCUAUUGGAAACGAUAGCUAAUACCGCAUAAUAUUAAUUAUUGCAUGAUAAUUAAUUGAAAGGUGCAAUUGCACCACUACCAGAUGGACCUGCGUUGUAUUAGCUAGUAGGUGAGGUAACGGCUCACCUAGGCGACGAUACAUAGCCGACCUGAGAGGGUGAUCGGCCACACUGGGACUGAGACACGGCCCAGACUCCUACGGGAGGCAGCAGUAGGGAAUCUUCGGCAAUGGACGAAAGUCUGACCGAGCAACGCCGCGUGAGUGAAGAAGGUUUUCGGAUCGUAAAGCUCUGUUGUAAGAGAAGAACGGGUGUGAGAGUGGAAAGUUCACACUGUGACGGUAUCUUACCAGAAAGGGACGGCUAACUACGUG